Molecule: ribosomal RNA, 460 nt
Filed under: uncultured bacterium
Lineage: Bacteria
Description: partial 16S ribosomal RNA
Rfam family: Bacterial small subunit ribosomal RNA
Source: RNAcentral
CCUACGGGAGGCAGCAGUGAGGAAUAUUGGUCAAUGGACGCAAGUCUGAACCAGCCAUGCCGCGUGCAGGAAGACGGCUCUAUGAGUUGUAAACUGCUUUUGUACGGGGGUAAACGCAGAUACGCGUAUCUGUCUGAAAGUAUCGUACGAAUAAGGAUCGGCUAACUCCGUACCAGCAGCCGCGGUACUACGGAGGAUUCAAGCGUUAUCCGGAUUUAUUGGGUUUAAAGGGUGCGUAGGCGGUCGGAUAAGUUAGAGGUGAAAUUCCGGGGCUCAACCUCGGAAUUGCCUCUGAUACUGUUCGGCUAGAGAGUAGUUGCGGUAGGCGGAAUGUAUGGUGUAGCGGUGAAAUGCUUAGAGAUCAUACAGAACACCGAUUGCGAAGGCAGCUUACCAAGCUACUUCUGACGUUGAGGCACGAAAGCGUGGGGAGCAAACAGGAUUAGAUACCCCUGUAGUC